UUAGUUGAGUGACAAUCUGAGACAUCAACCCGACAAAAUUUGAUGAAGUGAAUGUGAAAUUUUUAGUCAAAAUUAAUUGUGGCUGACAUGACACAAUCUUGUUCUUCAAUUUCAGGAAUUAAUUUCUGCGGGUUCUGACACCACAACCUCAACAAUUGAAUGGGCAAUGGCAGAGUUGCUAAGGAACAAGGGUGCUAUGCACAAACUUCAGGCUGAGCUUACAAGUAAAUUCAGGGAAAAUGAUAUAAUCACAGAAUCAAACAUCAGUGAACUUCCAUAUUUGGCUGCUUGUGUCAAGGAGACAUUGAGACUCCAUUCGCCUACUCCCUUCUUGAUUCCUCGUCGUGCUCCUGAGACGUGUAAGAUUAUGAAUUAUACCAUCCAAAGAACUCGAAGUUGUUUGUGAAUGCUUACGCAAUAGGGCGUGACUCCAACACAUGGGAAGAUGCAUUAUCUUUCAGGCCAGAGCGAUUUCUUGACUCCAAGGUGGACUUCAGGGGUCAAGAUUUUGAGUUCAUACCAUUUGGCGCAGGGAGGAGAAUAUGCCCUGGCUUAGGUUUUGCUAGACAAGAAAUUCACUUGAUUUUAGCUAGUUUGAUCCAUUACUUUGAGUGGUCACUUCCUAAUGGUGAGGAUCCAAUGCAGUUAGAUAUGGAAGAAAAGUUUGGUGUUACUCUACAGAAAGAAAAGCCUCUACUCAUUGUCCCUAUGUAAUGUGUAUAUCUUUUUUGUUCUCCAUAUGCAACAUGUACCUUCACUUGCAAAUAAAAACUAUACUAUUAUGUUCCAAAGCUAUCUUAUUUUUUAGAAUGGAAUUAGUUUUUGCAUUGUUAUGAUAGAAUGGUUGGUGAUUGUUGGUGAUCAAUAUGGUGAUGAUUCGGUCGUGAAAUAAUUGUUUCGGGUGUAUGUUAUUCCUAUGUCAGGUGUGGAUGUUACUAAUUAUGAAAUGAGUGUAUUUCUGGUAUAUUUGGAAUGUAUAUAUGGUGUAUUUUAUUUGAUUGUAUGCCGUAUGAAUUACUGGACUUGCGUGUCGGUUUGAUAGAAUGUUUAAGAAUACUAUUUAAUAGCGUGUAUUAGUUAUCCGAAUUUGGUGGACUAUAUACGAUUUGAUAGGCUCGAUCUGAAAGUAUUAUGCUAGAGUUUGUGGGAAGAAAGAAGAAAGAAAGUAUCUCCAAAAUCUCUUAAAAUUUGAUUUCUAGUUUUUGAAAAUUAUAGGCUGCCAAUCGUUAUAAUUGCCUAUUAACUGAGUUUGGAGAAACACUAAUCACUUUCUGGGCUAGUAAUAUUGGGCCUCAUAACUAAACUAAGCAAUUCCAUUAGUGUAGUUUUUCUUUGUUUUUGGGGAACUUUCACAAAUUUGUCACUAUAAUAAAUUUAAUUAUGCUUCAUAGCUAUAGUUUGCAUAUUUACGGGUUGUAGCUACAAUUUAAGCUGUCUCGUUUGUAUAAUUUGCAAAUUUGUAUAAUUCGCAGGUACAUUUGUAUAAUUUAGUUAUUUUUGUAUAAACUUGAAAUAAUGAAUUUAUACAAUUACAAAAAUCAUAAGUGUAAACAGUUAUACAAAUUAUAUUAUACAAAUUCUGAAUUAUACAAAAGUUAUACAAAUUAUAUUAUGCAAAUUCCAAAUAAUACAAACGUGCGAAUUAUACAAAACUAAAAAGCUGAGCCGCGUAAUUAUAGCUAAAAGCAGGUCGCGAAUUGUAAUUAAGGCAAACUAUAGCUAUGUUAUCUAAUUAACUAGUAUAUAUUUGUUUAUACACGUAAUUUUCCCUUUCUUGUUUUUUACCAAGUAAAAAUUUGACACAUAUAUAUCACUUGAUGACUCAAUUAUGAUCAAAUUGACUCCAUAUUCAUCUUAGCCUAUUUUGUAGGAAAAAUUAAAAAUUGAUGAACAUUUUGUCAACUGCCACUAGAGAUGUUCCGUUUGGCCUCAAGAAUACUUGGAAAAAAUUUGGGGAAAAAAUUAAAAAGUGGUGUUUAAUUUGGUCAUAUAACUUAGCAAAUAUAUUUGUCAAGUAUUUCAAGUUUCCAAAUACUAGAAAAAACUAGUAUUUGGGCCAACUUCUAAUAUUUGGGAAUUUUAAAAAAUUAAAAAAAUUACCCCAAAUUUCUAUAUUUUAUUAAAAAAUACCCGUCAUUUAUUAAGUCCAACUAAUAUUUGUUACUACCUCCUCCGAAAAAGUUUGAGUUCUAAUUUAAGUGAUAAAAUUGAGAAAAAAGAACAAUUUGUUUUGAUGGGUUAUAAUUAUAACCGAAUCAAUAACAAGUUUGAAUAUGUGAUUAAUGUAUUGCUCUUGCAUAUAUUGUUAUUUUGUUGUUGUUGAUUGUUAUCAAUUAUGUUAUAAGGUUAUUUUUUAACUGAACAUAUUCAGUUAUUCACUAUGAAUAGAUAAUACAAAUUUAUGGGUAUCUUUAAUAGUUUUAGAAUUUAUGUGUAUAAAUCAUAUUUUUUAAAAUAGUAAAAUAUUCUUGAAAAAACUUGGAGCCAAAUACAUGUUGUAAUUUAACCAAAAACUAGGAUGAAAUAUUAUUUGGAAACUUGGAGCCGAACGCUAGCGUAAUCGAGUUCGCUUACCUCACUAAUGAGCUUUGGCGAUAUAAAGCUUUAAUAUAUUAUUGCAUAUAAUUUUCUUGAGUCGACGAUUAAUGUAUAUCCUUUUUUAUAUAAGAACAAAAAAUGCUGGAGAAAAUAUUUGUAUUUUAUAUCAAUUGUAUUCAAUUAAAUAUAAGUGAGAGAUUUGUGUUUUAUAUCAAUUGCAUUCGAAAACUGUAUUUGUAUUUUUGUAUCAAUUGUACGUGUAUUCAUACGAAUACAAUAUGCAUUCAUCUUCUUAGUCAAAUAUAUUCAAUAUCAAUUGUAUUCAAUCAAAGAGCGGAUGAAUACAAUUGUAUUCGUUGUAUUUCAAAUACAAUUGACACAAAAUACAAAAUAGUUGUGCACUAAAUAAAUUCAAAAUAUAAUGCAAAAUACAAUUCUCUCACCUCUCUCUGUCGAUCUCGCUCGUCUCUCCUCCUAAUAUGUACUCAUUUUGAUACAUAUCAAUUUGUAUUUAUAUUUUUUUCCUCCAAAAUCUGCAAAAUAUAAAAAUACAAAUGUAUAGCAAAAUCAAACUAUUGUUGCGAGUUCUAAUUAGUGAAACUGUAGCUAUGGAUUCCUAUUUAAGGGAUAAUGUUUGUUGUUUUUGAAAGUUUUCAAUUUAUUAUUUUUGAGUUAUGAACAAGAGCUUGAAGAAAAAUAAUUUAUUUAUAAUAUCAUAAAUCUCUGAAUAAUUUCAAUAACUCUCCACUACAAGAAACUAGAUAGAAAGUGAAAAACCUAUUCCUAUAUAAAUUUGACGAGAAAAUGGUCAAAUGACCCCCUAAUCUAUAUGCAGAUUUUCAACUACACACUUCAAUUUUAUAGGGGUCCUAUUACCCCAUUAAACUGUUUAAAAUUGAAAUUAUUACACUCUUAAAAUACCACAACCAUAUCUAUGUUGACGGGUGAAACUCACGCAUUUGACACGUGGAAUAUUAUAAAAAACUUUUUUUAUAAAAAAAUUAAUCUUUCUCCUUUUUGAUUUAUUGUUUUAAAUUACAGUUAAAGGUCAUAACAUGAAAGUUUAUGGAUGUAUUUUGAUCUUCAAAUUUGAAACUAGUUGAUGAUGACAUUGUUGGUUGCUAAUUUUUCAAGCUAAAAACACUAAGUUUGAGUUUUUGACUAAGUUUAUUGCUGCAAUUUUUAGAUUUGAAGAACAUUGAAACUCCAUGAAUACCGACGAGCUUUUAUAUGAAAUUUUUAGAUCUAUUUUCUGGAUUGGGAACAACAUUAGCUGGUGUUUUGAAGAGUUUCAUAUGGCAAAAAACGGAAGCUCAUGGUUUAAAAUGUGAACAACCAACUUAAAACCUCCAUUAAAGUUGGUUCAAAAGGCCUGGGUUCAAAUUCGACUUGUCACAAACAAGUAUCGUUUAGAAUGGGUAAUAUAUAAAAAAAAAUCAAAAUGUCGAAAAAAGCUUAUAUCUAAAAUUUUGCUUGAUUUAAAGAAGUUUUAAGGCGAUUUUGCAUCAAUUAUUCAGAGCAACGGGAUGAAGAAGAUGAAGAAUGGCGCUGCAUUUUCAGAUUUGCAGGAAUUUGUCUAGUUGUUAAAAUCAGUUGAAUUUUUUUUUCCAUAGAUCUGUUGGAUAUUGAAUAUAGGAUUAGAAAUUUCCUUAGUAUUACAAUUUCUUAAAGAAAAUUAGUUGAGUGUCACUAUAUUAAGCGUAUUCAAGCUUGAAUUUUGCUUUGAUUUGGAAGAUUUUUGGUGCAUAGUUCUUGAUUGUGGAGAGUGAUGGAUGAAAUUGCUAUAUACGAUUUGUGGUGCAUCGAUUGACAUAGUGAAGAGGGAAGACGAUUGUUUCAAGAUGGUGAGGGGUGAUGAAAUUCAAUGGCGGCCAGUUGCUGGGAGGAAGAAAACAAAUUAAAAAUGAGAUAAGAAUAAUUAAGAAAAAAGAGGAAAAAAUUAAAAAAUAUGAAAAGAAACAUUAAAAUAAAAAUCUAAUUUUUUUUUUUGCUUUGCCAGAUAAGCAUCUAGGGAGGUAAUAAUUUUAAUUGUAAACAGUUCAAGUGGGUAAUAGGACUCCCAUGAACUUAAAGUGUGUAGUUGGAAAUUCGAAUAUAGAUUAGGGAGAUUUUUGACCAUUUUCUCUAAAUUUGACUAUAAGUUCUAUUUAAACAUGAAUUAGAUAAACUAAAACAAGUAUCAAAUCCUAUACAAAAUUAUAUAUAUUCCCUAGUACAACUAUAUGAAUUAGUCUUUCAACAAAUUAAAAUUCUUAAUUCCUAGUACAUCUUUGAAUAAGAGCUUCAUUACUCAUACUAAAAUCUUAAUCAAUAAUACAUAUAGUAUAAUAGGAGGGACAUUUUAGGCUGGCUGCCAAUUGCAAUGGAACUAGCUAGUUCAAAAUAGAUGCAGCUAGAAAACAAUAGGAGUAGUCAUCAUCAUCAAUUAAAGCCUCCCCCAAUAGUUUUCUCCAUUCUCUAGCAAUCUAUUUUAGUUUCUCCCCCAUUUUGUUUGAUUCCUUGACAAUGACUGACAUUUUAUGUGGAAGCCAAGAGGCAAACUAAUGUUUAGGAAAUGCAUGUAUAUAUGUCCAUAGAGCUUGAAGCCUACCCUAACAAAAACAAACGAUUUAGCAGCAAUAAUAUAAUUGUCGCUAUAUUAUAUUUAGUGGCAAUAAUUAAUAUGAGUAUUUAUAACCAACACACUCUAUAUAAAUGUCGCUAAAGACUUUGAAAAGACUCUGAAUGUAGUGACAUCAACUCAAUUGUCAAAAUUUAUUACCGCUAAAUGUUUCGUGGUUAUAGUGCUAUUCAAGUACAAACACGUUUUCUUUCAUUAGCUACAUAUAUUUUCUUGAAUUUAUUGUAUCCGGAGAAUUUUUUUUGAGUAUACAAGAUCGAUCAGAAUUAAUAAUCUUAAGACAAUUGGUAGGUUAGUUCAAAUAAUGUUAAAUAAAAUUCAUUGGAUAUAUUCCCUAGGUGUACCUCCCACGAGAUAUUAUGCUUCAAUCUAUUAUUAGAUCAUGUGCAAACGUCUCACAAUGGGAAGUUGAUAAGAAAGAUUUUUUUUUUACAUACUAUCAGAUAUAGCGAUAUAUUAAUCGUUUGAAAUUAUUUUUGGAGAGAACUAUAAUGGCUAUGCCUAAAUCAUAGCUAAAACUUAUAGCAAUCUAGGUUGAGAAUUUUUUCUUAUAUAUGAUUCAAUAAAGUUAAAAAUUUAAGACAGAUAUAUUAUUACAUGAUAUUCCUAUUUCUAUUUUAGGAUUAGUUCAAUGUUCUCAUUUAAUAAUUUCCACUCAUAUUCAAAAGAAAAAAAUAAUAAUUAACAACUGGCACUAGCACACAGCUGCAUGAAUAUAACUAUGCACAUGCACUAACAUAUAGCUAUUCUAUAAAAAGUUAACUCAAGACUAAAUGCGAGGUGAAUUUGUUAAUUUCAGUAACUCUCAACAAGCUAAAAUGAAGAAUUGAACAAUUCUGAUUAACGGAGAAGAAAGAGAUUCUGCAUUGAUAAAAAAUGUGAAUAUACAAGUCUAACUGAAAAGAUGCUUUACAAUGCUUUAUAUUGAAGCAGCUAGCUAUCUAGCUAUCUAGCUAUCUAACUGAAUAACAAAACUCUAACUAACUUUCUACUGUUAAUUAAAAACUAAUCGUCAGCUCACUAACACUAAUCAAUAGUUGUACACUUAACCAGCUGCUCAACAUCCUCCCUCAAGCUAGGUGUAUGAAAAACAUUCUUCAUUCCUAGCUUGGUAAGUAGAUAGUUAUGCUGCAAACAGGUGAGUCCUUUGGUAAGUAUAUCUGCUGGUUGCUCUGUUGUAUUGAAGUACACUGGUUGAACUAUUCCCAUUUGAACUUUCUCCCUGAUGAAAUGACAAUCAAUAUCUAUAUGUUUAGUUCGUUCAUGAAACACUGGAUUGGCAGCUAUCUAUAUAGCUGAUUUGCCGUCACUGUGUAUGUGUAUUGGCAACCUCACUUGAACCCCUAGUUCUUUAAAGAGACCAACCAACCACACAACCUCUGCAACUGUAGAAGCCAAGCUCCUAUACUCAGCUUCAACUUAGCUCCUUGAAAUAGUGUCCUAUUUCUUGGCCUUCCAUGAAAUCAGUGAGUUCCCAUAUGUAACCAUGUAUCCUGUUAUGGACUUCCUAUUGUUUGGGCAUGAUGCCCAAUCUGCAUCACAAUAUGCAGUAAGGUGAUUGUCAGCAGUAGAUGCCAGCAGCUUCAACAGAUGCUUGAGAUAUUACAGGGAUGCAGCCCUCAAAGCAGUGUCAACAUGUCAGGUAAUUCCAACUCUCAUUUGAAGUGGAUCAUAGAUACAGGGGCCUCAGAUCACAUGAUAAAUAAUCAUCAUUAUUUGAUUAAUGAGAACAUAGUAAAUAGUAGAGGGAAGGUGCAGCUACCUACAGGAGAAUCUGCCAUAGUUUCACAUAUUGGAAGUAUACAGCUAAAUGAAUGUGACAUGAUUAGCGAAGUCCUGUGCAUACCAACAUUCAAGUUUAACAUGUUGUCUGUACACAAACUGAAAAAGAGUUAAACUGCUAUGUUUCCUUUUUCCCUACUCACUGUGUUUUUCAGGAUCUCUUGUCUGGGAAGGUCAAGGGGAUUGGUAGAGUAGAAGAUGGAUUGUAUGUGAUGCACUUGUCACGCCCCGAGCCUACACCUUGUCGUGAUAUAGGAAGCUAACUUUAUUAAGUGGAUCCACUAGCUUAACUUUACGGGUUCAUCUAAAAAGUAUGACCCGUUAACUCCCAUGUUGGCUACAUGGUUCUUAUGGAGAGUUGAGUUUAAUAUGAACUCGCGUCCCCAAAUCGGUGCUCGAUACUACUCCCAAAAUACUUUAGCUCAUAAGUGUUUUAAAGACAUCUUUCUUUAAUUGAGAUAAUUACUCAAAAUCUAGCCCAAAGGCUCUUUUGGAAUCAUAGUUCCUUUUUCUUGAAAACUCUUUCUAAAAGACAUCUCAAAAUCAUAUUUUAAUAUGAUCAUUGAUGACUCGGGAUAUUCAUACUGCUUAAACAUUGAUGGUAUAUCUAGAGACCAUACUGUUUAAACAUUGAUGACAUACUCGAUUUGCCAUACUAAUCAUGUUUUAGAAACUCUUUUGCAAAACUCAUCUUUGCUCAAAAGAGAUAGUACUCAAACUUCUCAAAACUUUUUUGGAAAUCUCAGUUUCCUCUCAUCUUAAAUGUGAAAACAUUUAUAAACUUCUUUGGGAAUACUUAGUUCCCUAAUAGCUUUUGAGAAAUGAACUCAACUCUUGACUCUUGACUCUUGACUUAACUCGAAACUCUUGACUUAACUUGAAACUCUAUAUUUAACUUGAAACUUGAGCCUUAAGACAAAGCUAAAACAUUCAAUAACGACUCUUGAAAAGCUUUAACGACAUCGCCUUGACUUGCUUAACUUCUAAGCUUAACUCUUAACUNNNNNNNNNNNNNNNNNNNNNNNNNNNNNNNNNNNNNNNNNNNNNNNNNNNNNNNNNNNNNNNNNNNNNNNNNNNNNNNNNNNNNNNNNNNNNNNNNNNNNNNNNNNNNNNNNNNNNNNNNNNNNNNNNNNNNNNNNNNNNNNNNNNNNNNNNNNNNNNNNNNNNNNNNNNNNNNNNNNNNNNNNNNNNNNNNNNNNNNNNNNNNNNNNNNNNNNNNNNNNNNNNNNNNNNNNNNNNNNNNNNNNNNNNNNNNNNNNNNNNNNNNNNNNNNNNNNNNNNNNNNNNNNNNNNNNNNNNNNNNNNNNNNNNNNNNNNNNNNNNNNNNNNNNNNNNNNNNNNNNNNNNNNNNNNNNNNNNNNNNNNNNNNNNNNNNNNNNNNNNNNNNNNNNNNNNNNNNNNNNNNNNNNNNNNNNNNNNNNNNNNNNNNNNNNNNNNNNNNNNNNNNNNNNNNNNNNNNNNNNNNNNNNNNNNNNNNNNNNNNNNNNNNNNNNNNNNNNNNNNNNNNNNNNNNNNNNNNNNNNNNNNNNNNNNNNNNNNNNNNNNNNNNNNNNNNNNNNNNNNNNNNNNNNNNNNNNNNNNNNNNNNNNNNNNNNNNNNNNNNNNNNNNNNNNNNNNNNNNNNNNNNNNNNNNNNNNNNNNNNNNNNNNNNNNNNNNNNNNNNNNNNNNNNNNNNNNNNNNNNNNNNNNNNNNNNNNNNNNNNNNNNNNNNNNNNNNNNNNNNNNNNNNNNNNNNNNNNNNNNNNNNNNNNNNNNNNNNNNNNNNNNNNNNNNNNNNNNNNNNNNNNNNNNNNNNNNNNNNNNNNNNNNNNNNNNNNNNUUUCCGGACGGAUUCCCUGCCAACUGCCCAACUUCCAAAGGGAAUAACUCACUCAUACGAACUCGGAAUUGAGCAAACUCGGUGGCGUUGGAAAGACCAUUCCACGAGAUUUGUAACCAUAAUUGGAACUACACCUAACUCAUCCUGAGCUAGAAGUUAUGGCUGCUCAAAGUUGGCCCAAAAACUCACCUUUUCCAUACUUAGCCAAAAUUUUCCAGAUUUUUAAAUUCCUUCCAAAAAUAGUUAAUUCCAAUUCAAAGCCUCUUCAUAGCUAUUUCAAAUUGUCAAAUGUUACAACACUGGCCAGUAAAGCAACCAAAUGUGAAGAGCCACACAAUGUCUACAGUUAAGGAGGGAACUACAGAUCCAGGACUUUGGCACAAGAGACUAGGACAUGUUCCUAUGGGAGUACUUAGAAGAAUAAAUGAGUUUAAAACUAGUAAUAGUUUUACUAUUGAUCAUUGUAUUGUUUGUCCACAAGCUAGAUAGACUAAGAUUCCAUUUUCUCAGAGUAGUACCACAGUAGAUAAUAUCUUUGACUUGGUGCAUAUGGAUGUCUGGAGUCCAGACAAAGUGACUACUCACAAUGGUAUGAGAUAUUUUCUCACCCUAGUUGAUGAUAAGUCUAGAUGGACAUGGACCUUCUUGCUUAGUUUGAAGUCUGAUGUAAUUGUUGUAUUGAAACAAUUUUUGGCAAUGAUAAAUAAUCAGUUUGGAAAGUGUGUUAAGGUGUUCAGGUCAGAUAAUGGAGGUGAAUUUUUGAAUUCUAGUUGUUGUGAAUUAUUUGUGUCUCUUGGGAUCAUUCAUCAGAAAUCAUGUCCACACACUCCACAACAAAAUGGAGUUGCAGAAAGGAAGCAUAGACAUUUAUUAGAGACUGCCAAGGCAAUCAAAUUCCAAAGUUAUUUGCCAGAUAGGUUCUGGGGAGAGUGUAUAGAAGUUGCAACCUACAUUAUCAGUAGGAUCCCUCUAUCUGUUCUGAAAAAAAAGUCACCAUAUGAAUUAUUUUAUGGUAAACAACCUUCAUUGUCACACCUCAGGGUGAUAGGUUGUCUUGUUUUUGCUACAGACUUGAACAUGCAUGAUAAAUUUGCACCAAAGGCAAGGAAAGUUGUCUUGCUUGGUUAUGCUACUAGCCAAAAGGGAUAUAAACUACUGGAUAUUGAAUCCAAAAUACAUUUUUAUCAGCAGAGAUGUCAUAUUUCAUGAGGAUGUGUUCCCCUUUCAAACUUCAGGUCUUGGACAAGAAAAGGAUCAAGUUGUUUCAUUGUCUUAUUCACAUGUUGAAGAUUGUGACCUUACACCUUGUGUUGUAUUCAGAAAUACAGUAGAUGCCCUUGAAACUGUAACUCAACAAGCUGUUGUACCUGACUCCUUUUGUCAUGGUUCAAUCAUUGAAUUUGAAGAUCAGGUACCCUUGGUUUCUUCUCCUGAACCAAGCAUUUUACCAACUCAGUUACCUGUUGCUGCCAGAAGAUCUAACAGACCUGCAAAGCCCCCACUCUGGCAUACAGAUUACAUUUUGUCAAAGAACAAAGCUGCAGGUUAUUGCUCCUAUCCUAUUACAGAUGUGCUGGACUACCAAAGCAUCACACUUGCCUACAAAAGCUUUGCACUAAGUUUUCACAAGAGAAGGAACCUGCUUCUUAUCAGGAGGCUAUACAAGAUCCUAGAUGGAUUGCAGCUAUGGAAUGUGAAAUACAAGCAUUAGAAGACAAUCAUACAUGGGAGAUUACUACACUGCCUAAGGAUAAGAGGGCAAUAGGCUGUAAAUAGGUGUACAAGAUCAAAUAUAUGGCUGAUGGGGAAGUUGAUAGGUUCAAAGCAAGGUUGGUAGCCAAGGGUUACAAUCAAAAGGAAGGUUUGGACUAUCAGGAAACUUUUUCUCAUGUUGUAAAAAUGGUGACUGUUAGAUCAGUCAUAGCCUUAGCAGUUGCACAACAUUGGCAAGUACACCAAAUGGAUGUAUUCAAUGUUUUUCUUCAAGGUGAUCUGACUGAAGAAGUUUACAUGGAUUUGCCCUUGGGGUUUGUCCAUCAAAGUGAGAGGGGGACAUGGACAGUAUGCAAGCUUACAAAGUCACUUUAUGGACUUAAACAGGCCAGCAGAUAGUGGAAUAUCAAGUUGACCACAGCCUUAGCUAACUCAGGCUUCCAGCAGAGUCAUUAUGAUUAUUCCUUGUUCACAAAAUAUCAAGGAGAAAAGAUAGUGAUGGUACUUGUUUAUGUUGAUGACCUAUUGAUAACAGGUAAUGAUCACAAGUUGAUCUUGGAAACAAAGAAGAUUCUUCAAGACAACUUUAAGAUUAAAGAUCUAGGUGAGCUGAGAUACUUCCUAGGAAUUGAAUUUGCUAGAAACAGCAAUGAGAUCCUUAUGCAUCAAAGAAAAUAUUGCCUUGAACUGAUUUCAGAUAUGGGGCUAUCUAGUUCAAAGCCUGUAGGUUCUCCUGUUGAGUUGAAUCAGAAACUUACAACUGCAGAAUUUGAUUUACACUUCCCUCCUACUGAUGAGCAGGAUAAGUUGUUGAGUGAGCCUGAAAUUUAUCAGAAAUUGGUUGGUAGAUUGCUUUAUUUGACAAUGACAAGGCCAGACAUUGCAUUUGCAGUGCAACUGCUGAGUCAAUUUAUGCACAGUCCUAAGACAUCCCACAUGAAGGCAGCAUUAAGGGUGGUGAGGUAUGUUAAACAAUCACCAGGCUUAGGGAUACUUAUGGCAUCUACUGCUGACAAUCACUUUACUGCAUAUUGUGAUGCAGAUUGUGUGUGUUAUCUUGUCCAUAGGGACCUGCAUAUAAGUGUAUUGUUGUUGUGAAUGCACUGAUCCUCCUCCAAUAACUGCAUUGACCUUCUUCCUUCCUUUGAAAUUUUCAGGAUAUCCAAUUAGCAAGUAACAAUUCUCCUUCACAUGUCCAGUUGUAUGGCAAUGAUCACAUUUUUUGAGCUUGUUGCAAUCUUCCCUAACAUGUCCUUUCAUAUUACAGAAGUCACAAUAAAGAGACUGAUAAUUCUUCCUUGGAUUCUACCUAUUGUUGAAUUAUUGUGGUCGACUUGUCCUAUUUGUAUACAUUGCCAAAGACUCCAUUCCUUCAUUGAUAUUGCCAACAAUCCCCUUUUGACAUUCAUCCUGUAUGACUAAAGCAUAGGCUUGGUUCACAUUAGGCAAAGUGUGCAUCAUGAGGAUUUGACCUCUUGCUUGUGAAUAGCUAUCAUUCAAGCCCAUCAUGAAUUGAAGUAAACGCUGAUAUUGCAUUUGUUCCACAUACUCCUUAGACUUAGAACAAUCACAACUAGGUGGAGGCAGAAUAAAAUAAUACUCAUCCCACAAGUUUUUCAAUUUUGUGUAAUAAGCAGAAACAGACAAAACUCCCUGUGUAAGCGUAAAUAUACUUCUAUGCAACUGAUACAAUCUCGAUCCAUUGACCUUAUCAAAUCUCUCUUUGAGAUCAAUCCAUACUUGAUGUGCACUAGAGGAAUAAAUGAUUCCACUAAGCAGUUCCUUACUCACGUUAUAUGUAAGCCAAGAGAUGACGAUAGCAUUGCAGCGAUCCCAAAUCUUCUUCAAUUCUCCUUCGAAAUCAAUACGCAGCACAUAUCCAUCGAUAAAUCCUAAUUUGUUCCUUCCAAGCAGUGCGAUCUCCAUUGUUCGACUCCAAAUUAUGUAAUUCUCCAUUCCGGUCAAUUGAAUCCCAAUCGAUAAAGCUCUUGGCACAUCAGAAGAACUCAAGUACAACAGAUGAUUAUGAUCAAGAGUAACUGAGCUUCCAUUAAUGGUGUCUACUGUUGCUCUGCCACUCGAUCCUCCUGCAGAUGCAUCCUCAAUCGCUAUGAAUUAAUUCCUGCAAACUUUGAUACAACAAAGCUGUAAAAUCCUUAGAACUAAGCCCUCGAAAUCGUUCCCAAUUGCUUUGAUACCAUGUUAAUUUCAGUAACUCUCAACAAGCUAAAAUGAAGAAUUGAACAAUUCUGAUUAACGGAGAAGAAAGAGAUUCUGCAUUGAUAAAAAAUGUGAAUAUACAAGUCUAACUGAAAAGAUGCUUUACAAUGCUUUAUAUAGAAGCAGCUAGCUAUCUAACUGAAUAACAAAACUCUAACUAACUUUCUAUUGUUAAUUAAAAACUAAUCGUCAGCUCACUAACACUAAUCAAUAGCUUUACACUUAACCAGCUGCUCAACAGAAUUAACGUGCAAUUUAUCUUUUGCUUUGAGAUCACAAACAAAUGAAUAUAUCUAAUUAAGCAUUUGAGGAAAAUCUUGCUUAUGAAAAGAAUAUACUACUAAUCUACUAUUAGAAGUAGACUAUAUUAUAUAAGUAUUAUAAAGAGUAAUGCUAAAUGGCCAGAAAAUUUGGCAAGAAAUUUAAAAAGUCCAUAAUAUCCUUUUUAUUUUAAAAUAAAUUGAUCUUUUUUCCAUUUUUUAAUUAAAAGGUAUUAAAGUUAAAGGGUAAAAAUAUUCAAAAAAAUAAAAUAACAUAGUAUGAAAUAUGUAAUUUUACCAUUCUGACCAAAUUUUCUGGUCAAAAGGAUUUUUCCUUUUAGAGAUUACGUAUGAUAAAUGGGGUGGAAAUUAAGGUACACCAUUCUUUAAUUAUUUGACUAGCUAGACUAGCAUGCAUGUCAAUUCGGAGUUUUAAUUAUUUAAUUUAGUUUAACUAUAUUUUUUUCCCGAUUUUCUAUGAACAUUAGGGUCCGUCUAACUAGAUUUGCACUGAAAAGUUCCAUGUUGGGAGUAAAAGAAUUCCUAAAAAUAGCGAUUUCAUUUGUGAUAAAACUCAAAUUCGUGACCGUUGGUUAAGAAUAAAGAGCUAGGUAUGUACUCCACUGCAAGUACCUUUAGUAAUUUUAGUUUUAUUUAGUCCAAGAGAGUGGCUCAUUUGAUCUCGAAGUAAUAAAUUAGUAAUAUUUUCCUAUUAUAAGUCAAAGUCGUUCACGCACGCUUCGAUACCAAUGUUAGGUUCAAUGAAAUAUUAAAGUUUAUGCACUUGCUGUGUAGUUAGACUAAUUAAUUAAUAUAUUCAUUAAUUAAUCCCAUUGGCAUAUUGUAAUGACUUUCAAAUCUAAGAAGUAUUGAGAAUGUAUUUAUACGUAUGCAGUUAGUAUAGUAUAGUCAGUCAUAUUAAUUAGUCAUGUUAAUUCAGUUUGAUUGGUUAGUUGUAGUUUGUUAGAACUGUCAGUUUGUUAUUCAGUUAGUCAUGAACUUGUUAGGUGCUAUAAAUACACAUGUACAUGUAUGUAAUCAUUUGCGAAGUCUUAUUCAAAAAUACAGUUUUCUCUCUUCUUCCCUGUAUUGACUUUUCCCUCAUAUGUGAGUUCCUCCAUUGAUGCUAACAUUCAAAGCUUGAGAACCAGUUAUGAAUUGUUGAAAUUAACAUGAUAUCAGAGCCUAUCAUCGAUAUUUCUAGCUUCCUCUGUUUCUCAGCUUUCUAGCAAUUAUUAGCUAUUUUUAGCUUGUUAGUUUCUCUUCGUUUACUUCUUCUACUAAACUCACAAUGUCUGCUACUGCUGCUGCUACGUUACCUGCAAUUGCUACUGCUGGAUCUACUUCCAUUGAUAUGAGUGAUCCUUUUUAUGUACAUCCAUCUGAUAACCCUGGAUCAUUGAUUGUUCCCGUUCCUUUUGAUGGAAUGGGCUAUCGAUCCUGGAGAAGAAGCAUCCUCCGAUCUCUUUCAGUGAAGAACAAAUUGGGAUUUGUUACUGGAGAUUGUAAGAAGCCUGCUGCAAAUUCUUCCCUAUUGCAUCUUUGGUAGAGAUGCGAUGACAUGGUGACGUCUUGGAUUCUGAAUUCUCUUGCCAAAGAGAUUGCAGACAGUGUUGAGUACGUUAACGAUUCAGUUGAAUUGUGGAAAGAGUUGGAGGAUCGUUAUGACCAGGCCAAUGGUGUGAAAUUGUAUCAACUUCAAAAGAAGAUCAAUGACCUGAAUCAAGGCGUGUUGGACAUCACUUCCUACUACACCAAGAUGAAGAAGCUAUGGGAAAAACUCAACAAUUUGAUCGCCAAAGCUCAAUGAACUUGUGCCUGUGUUUGUGGUGCCAAGGAUAGCACACACAAAGCUGAACAAGACAGGCGUCUAAUUCAGUUUUUAAUGGGUCUAAAUGAAGUCUACACUAUCGUCUGAGGCAGUGUUCUUAUGAUGAAUCCCCUGCCCUCAAUGGCACAGGCUUUUUCAAUACUGAUACAUGAAGAGAAACAAAUAGAAUUUAAACCUAGAAGCCAGAUGUUAAUGGACUUUGUCUCUCUUAAUGCAGGUUCUUCUAACCCAAGGAAUUUUAAGACAAGUUAUUCCACAGGGAAUGGCAACCAGAACAAGGGAAACUUUAUCUGUGAAUACUGUAAACGACCAGGACACACUGUUAGCAAAUACUACAAGCUGCAUGGAUAUCCCCCGGACAAUUCUCAGUCCACUAGUACUCAAAAUGCAGGUUACAACAGGAACAAUCAGAGGUACAAUAACUCUAGGCCCAACAAAAACAACAAUAACAACAGGAUUGCAGCAAAUGCUCAUGGGCCUUCUGGUGAUGAAAUGUCUGGGAAGGGUGAAAAUGAUAGCAAAGAAGAACAACCUCUAAGUCUCACUAAGGAAUAAUAUGGACAUGUGAUGAACCUGCUUCAACAUUUCCAAAGCAGUGAGGGCUCCAACAUCCCCAAUCUUGCAAGUGGAGCAGUAAACUUUCCAGGUAUUGUGGUUUGCACCUCUUCUAUAGAUUUUGAGAAACUUUCAUGUAUACAUUUUAAAUCAAAGGCUGACUUGUGGAUUAUAGACUCGGGAGCUUCCAAUCAUAUAACUUUUAACCAAGCCUCAUUAUCAAAUCCUAAGACCCUACCAUACCCUUUACUUGUUUCACUCCCUAAUGGAUACAAAGUGAAAGUAACACAAACUGGUGAUGUAGUACUCACACCUAACAUCAUUUUGCAUAAUGUGUUGUUUGUACCAUCCUUUAAAUAGAAUUUGAUUUCAGUCCAUUCCUUAGUGACAAAUCUCAAAGGUGUUAUGUCUUUUACUGAUGCCUUUUGCUUGUAUCAGGCCCCUUUACUGAAGAGGCCUCAGGUGAUUGGUAGGAGUAGAGAUGGACUCUAUUUUCUAUGUUCAAGAUGCUUGACAACUGACUCCAAGCACUGCUUACCUGGAAAAUCUUUUAAUUCUUUCAAUUCUGAUUCCAGUAGUCUGCAAACUGCUGUAACUGGAAAAUCUUUCAAUUCUUUCAAUUCUAAUUCUAGUAGUAUGGAAACUGUUGUAAUGGAUUCUGUAAACUCCCUUUCAAGUAAUAAAAAUGAGUUACAUUUUGUGAAUUCUUGUUUGUCUCUUGAAACUAAUGAAGAUUUAUUAUGGCACACUAGACUAGGCCAUGUACCUUUUGGUCAAAAUGAGGGCUAUCCCAUCCAUACCAGCCAAAUUUUCCCAGAAACAACCUUUUCUAUACACUGUCUGUCCUAUGGCUAGACAGACCAGGUUACCUUUCCCUCAAAGUACCAAAACCACAAGCAAGAUUUUUGAGCUUCUUAAUGUAGAUUUGUGGGGUCCCUGUCAUGUAUCUACUCAUGAUAAUUAUAAGUAUUUUCUGACUACGGUGGAUGACCAUAGCAGAUCCACAUGGACUCACCUUUUGAGCUGCAAAAGCAAUGCAUUACAGACUAUAAAAGCCUUUGCCACCAUGAUUGAAAACUAGUUUUCUACCUCUCUCAAAAGCAUUAGGAUAGACAAUGGGCUCGAAUUCACUAGUAAUGAAGCACUCUCAUUUUUCCAGUCAAAGGGCAUAAUUCAUCAGAAAACUUGCCCAUACACACCACAGCAAAACAGUGUGGUGGAGAGAAAGCAUAAAUAUCUCCUUGAAACUGCUAGAGCCCUUCUUUUCCAAUCCAAAUUACCUUUAAAAUAUUGGGGGAGUGUGUAUUGACUGCUACACAUCUUAUAAACAGACUUCCUACAUCUUAUAAACAGACUUCCUACAUCUUAUCUGAAUAAUAAAUGCCCUUUUGAAGUCCUAUAUAAGAAACAACCAAACUAUUCUUACCUUAGGAGCUUUGGUUGCCUUUGCUACCCUACUAUUCCUAAGGUGCAUAGAGAUAAGUUUGAACCAAGAACAAACCCCCAUGUUUUUGUAGGAUACCCCUUUGGGACAAAAGGAUACAAGGUACUGUGUCUAACUACCAAAAAGAUACAUGUUUCUAGAGAUGUGGUCUUUCAUGAAAAUGUUUUCCUUUUCGCUUCAUCUUUACACAAAGGCACUUUUCCUUCUGUUUUGAAUUCCAUUCCUUUCAUACAACCACACACUAAUGCAUAUGAUGUUGUAGACUGUGAUACUACUGAUAACAUUUUAUCUCAACCUAUAUCACCACUGCCUAAUAAUAAUGACAUCAUCGAGCCUCCUUUACCUCAGGAAUUGCCUUCCUCUUUGCUCCCAGGACCAGGAGACACAGUUAGACGAUCACAUAGAAACCACCAAGUACCUAAACAUUUAAAUGACUAUUUCUAUUCCUUACCCUCACAUAAAACUAUCAAUACAGCAGCCACUACUCCCACAUUGCAACCUCCCAUCAUGCCACUAAAUGCCAUUUUCUCAAAUAAUAGCCAUGUUGCUCCUGAAACCUUGAGUCUCAAUAAUCAAUUACUUGUUCAAAAUGUAUGUCAUGACAGUGAACCAUAAUCUUAUGAAGAAGCAUCACUUUAUCCUGCUUGGCAAGCUGCUAUGACACAAGAAUUUGAGGCCCUUCACAAUAAUAAAACUUGGGAUCUGGUUCCUUUGCCAGUUGGGAAGAAAACUAUUGGUUGUAAAUGGGUGUACCAAGUCAAACAUAAAGCUGAUGGUAGUGUGGAGAUAUAAGGCACGAUUGGUAGUAAAGGAGUAUACUCAACAAACAGGCAUAGACUAUACUGAGACUUUCUCUCCUGCAGUGAAGAGAGGUUGGGACAUUUUCCAGUUAGAUGUUAAUAAUGCCUUCUUACAUGGAGACCUCGAUGAGGAGGUUUACAUGGACCUACCCCCUGGUCUUGAGGUAACUAGUUCCCCUGCAGUAUGUAAAUUGAACAAGUCACUUUAUGGCUUGAAACAGGCCAGCAGACAGUGGUAUGAGAAACUGUCAGAGGCUCUCUUUUCAAAGGGUUACACCCACUCCAUAAGUGACUAUUCCUUAUUUCUGAAGAAAUCCAAUCAUUCUUCUAUUUUUGUAGCAGUAUAUGUAGACGAUGUGAUCAUCACUGGGACUAAUCCAUCAGAUAUUCUUCAACUCAAGCAGUUCCUUCAUGACACCUUCAAAAUUAAGGAUCUUGGUAAACUUCAUUAUUUUUUAGGUCUGGAGAUAUUGUAUGGAGAGAGAGGUAUCAUAAUGUCCCAAAGGAAGUUUAUCUUAGAUUUACUCAAGGAAUAUGGUUGUCUCCAAUACUCCAGCUUCUCUUCUCUACCUGAUCUAAAUGUUAAACUGAAAGCCAAAGAAGGCAUUGUUCUGUCUGAUCCUACAUUCUAUAGAAAAAGUGUAGGCAAGUUGAAUUUCCUUGUCAACACCAUAUUAGAGAUAGCUUAUGGUGUCCAACAUUUAAGUCAGUUCAUGCAAGAUCCCAGAGAACCCCACAUGCAAGCCACUUAUCACUUACUCAGAUACCUCAAGAAUGAUCCAACCUUAGGGAUCUUUAUGUCUUCAACCCCAGACUACUCAGUUCAUGCCUAUUGUGAUUCGGAUUAGGCAAGAUGUCCUGAUUCUCGAAGGUCUGUCUCUGGUUACAUUGUACUUUUGGGGAAAACACCUAUCAGCUGGAAGUCUAAGAAACAAGAAACUAUUUCCUUAUCUUCAGCAGAUAUCUCACUUUUUUUAUGUUCACAAUUGUAAGGGGACCAAUGUAAGAGAGUGUGAGUAGGAUAUUCAUUUAAAUGGCGGAACCUAACUCAUAUCUCACAUUACCUUAAACAGAGACAUCUAUGGGACAGAGAAUUCAACACCUAAUUCUAACGGUAUACUCCUAUUUCAAUUAAUUUACUCUACUUCUUUUAUUUUAAAAAAUAAGUGUUCAUUUAACUAAUUUUAAAAGGAGACAUUUAGUAUUUGCAGUAACGGUAGAAAUAUCAAAUUAUUAAACCAUACUAUGAAGAUUUAAGAAGAAGGAACUAAAUAUGAUAGGGAUCAUGUCUAUUUUCGAUAACCAGUUUGAAUGAAUCAUGGUGUGACGUAUAGGAGACCGGUGAAACAAUGUAAGAAAAGGAACAUGGACUUCACAUGGUGGUCAUUGACUUAAAAAAAAUUAUUGACAAGACUCUGAGGGAGGUUCUAUAGAGGUGCAUGGAUACCAAAGGCGUUUUCAUUUUAUAUAUCGAAAUAGUUUAUCUUCCUGAAUAAACUGAUUUUUUUAUUUCGAUCCCGAACUAUUCAAAUUUCUUUUAAGCUGUUACAAAUUUUAGAGAUGAGCUCCUAUUAACAUUUUGAAUUUUUUGAUAUCUUAUUCACUCAAAAUAAUUCAUAUUUACGACAUGUAAGAGUUUUAAAAUUUGUGUUAAGCGCUGAAUAUAUAAAGAAUUAUUUGCUUGACUAUUAUUAAUACAAUAAAACAAAAUAGCGGUUGGUGAAAAAAGUGUCGGAAAUGAUAGAUUUUCUUAGGUCUAGGAAAGGGGAAACUGUGAAGAUUUCUGAAAUUCUGUUUGGUAUCAUUUAAAACACGUUAGGGAACCUUUUCUUUUCAAAAGAUUUAUGUCAUUUGGAUUAUGAAAGAAACACCAGUGAGAUCAAACGUGUUUUUAGUAAAUUUAUAGAAUUGGGAGCUAUGCCAAAUAUAUCCCUUCUUGAUUCCUCGUCGUGCUCCUGAGACGUGUAAGAUUAUGAAUUACACCAUCCCCAAAGAACUCGAAGUUGUUUGUGAAUGUUUACGCAAUAGGGGGUGACCCCAAAAAAACAAAUACUCUUUCUGUCUUUCCUUUUACACGCAUAUUAAAAAAUUAUAAAUAAAAAAAUAAUUUUAUUAAUUCAUUUCAAAAAAGAAAUUUAAUUGAUGUUUUCUUAAUUUAGUAAGUUAAACAACUAGUUCAUUUGUCCCUAAUUACUUGUCCGCUUUUCUUUUUUAAGUUAUUCUUAAUUAUUUGUCCAUUUAGACAAAUCAAGAAACGAUAAAAUUGUUUUACCUAUUAUACCCUUAAUUAAUUACUUUGAAAAUGUAGAAUUAUUUGAAUGUUUUAAGUUUUAAUUCAUCCAUUUCAUAAUUAAUAAGGAUAAAUUGAUAAACUUAAUAUGUCAAUAAUUAUUUUCUUAAUAGGUGUGCCAAUUUUAAACAUGGACAAGUAAUUAGGAAUAGAAGAGUAUUUUUACUUCAAAAGUAAAAUAAUCAACUAAUAUGAAAAGUGAGUGUUUAGUUCGGCAUGAUUACCGUGGAAGAAAAUCACAUGCCGGGAUUUUGGAAACAUCUUUAAGUUUCUUAAAGUUAUUUAGGAAGGAAAGUAAACUAUAUUUAGAUGGAUGAGUAAGAACCUCUUUGGAUUGAUUUAAAAAAUAGCUUAAAGUUAAAAACUAAAGGUCAAAUUGAAAUGACUUUUAAGUUAAAAAAUAAAAAGUAGGGGGGGUGGGGAUACUUUUAGUUUUUAACUUAUUUUAAGUUCUUUUUUUUCUUCGCCAAACACUUUCAGAAAAUCAAAUAUUGACUUAAAAGUAGGUUUGACAAACUUUUAAACCAAACCACACCCUCUAAGUCAACUUCAAUUAUUUGUAUAAUAUUCUCUUGUUCAAUAUAAACAAUAAAAAAAAUAUUAAAAACGUGACUGGAUAUUAAUUAAAUAAAAAUUAAUUAAUAUAUUCUUUUUGAUUCUUCUAAAAAAUAUAGAUAAUCAUUAUUUGGAAUUUAAAAAUACUUGAAAACUUUAUAACUAUUAUUUCAAAAAAAAGGGUAAUUCUAAUUUUUUAAAAAAUGAAUAAUACAUUUUUAUUUUUUUAAGAAAAUCAUUCAUGAACUAUAAGAAAAAUGUUAACAAAGUCGGUAUAAUAUUCUCUUUUUACGUUGAAAACUGUCGUCGUUUUGCUCCCUUACACUUUGUUUUAGAUGAUUGUUCUGAAAAAUCGUAUUGUACUGUUUUAAUAAAUACAUUGUUUGAACAGAUUGUAUCGGUCUCUAUUGUAAGAUAAUGUCACAUAUCCAUAAUUUGAAUGAUAAAUCUAUAUAAAUAAAUAAAAAAUGAAUAGAGCUACUAUGAAAAGAUAGGGAUAAAAAAUGAAAUACGACUAUUAAAUAAUAAUUAAUAAAUAAAAAUAAAAUGCAAAGAAAGUAUUUUGGUAACAAUGUGAUUACACCAAAUGGAUCGUUAUAUAAAAUGAGUAUUUUCUUCAUUAGCUAAGAAUGAAUUUUAAUGAUACAAUACAAUUUAAUACAAUACAAGUCAACCAUUAAUGACUUAAACUACUAUACUUAUAUAUGGGUAUGGCAAUAGACAAUCUUCUCAUCAUACUUGCAUGUGUUAUUUGGUAUGUUAUUGUUGUCAAAUAUAUCAGAUUUCUAUCCUCUAUUUGAGGCUCUAGAUCUGCAGGGAUUGAGAAAGCAGACGGAAAUAUAUCAGAGUCAAUUGAUCAAUAUCUGGAGUGAAAUUGUAAAGGAAAAAAGGCAGGCAAUUAGCAGUCAUAGCUCGGAUAUUUUGGAUGUCAUGAUUGAUAGUGGAUUCCCAGAUUUACAGAUCAUGAAUAUCUUAGUGACAGUAAUAUCUCAACUUUUUAGAACCAAUAUACUCUGGUUUCAAAUAGAUGUGAAAUUUUUAGGCAAAACUAAUUGAGGCUGACAUGACACAAUCUUGUUCUUGAAUUUCAGGAAUUAGUGGGUGCGGGUUCUAACACCACAACCUCAACAAUUGAAUGGGCAAUGAUAGAGUUGCUGAGGAACAAGGGUGCUAUGCACAAAUUUCAGGCUGAGCUUACAAGUAAUUUAAGGGAAACUGAUAUAAUCACAGAAUCAAACAUCAGUGAACUUCCAUAUUUGGCUGCUAUUGUCAAGGAGACAUUGAGAAUCCAUUCACCUACUCCCUUCUUGAUUCCUCGUCGUGCUGCUCCUGAGACGUGUAAGANNNNNNNNNNNNNNNNNNNNNNNNNNNNNNNNNNNNNNNNNNNNNNNNNNNNNNNNNNNNNNNNNNNNNNNNNNNNNNNNNNNNNNNNNNNNNNNNNNNNNNNNNNNNNNNNNNNNNNNNNNNNNNNNNNNNNNNNNNNNNNNNNNNNNNNNNNNNNNNNNNNNNNNNNNNNNNNNNNNNNNNNNNNNNNNNNNNNNNNNNNNNNNNNNNNNNNNNNNNNNNNNNNNNNNNNNNNNNNNNNNNNNNNNNNNNNNNNNNNNNNNNNNNNNNNNNNNNNNNNNNNNNNNNNNNNNNNNNNNNNNNNNNNNNNNNNNNNNNNNNNNNNNNNNNNNNNNNNNNNNNNNNNNNNNNNNNNNNNNNNNNNNNNNNNNNNNNNNNNNNNNNNNNNNNNNNNNNNNNNNNNNGUCAGUCCCGCCCAGGGUGUAGGCUCGGGGUGUGACAAUAAAUUUAAUGCUAAAUAGAGUAUAUUAGUAAUGUUUGAUUAAUAAUGCUUGUAUUAAUUAGUAAUGCUUGUAUCAAUUAUAGAUAGAUUAUUUUUAUGCAUUGUUUAAUUAGGUGCAUUAAAAAUAACAUGUAUUGCAUAAAAAAAAUUAUUUACAAAGAUACUCUUCACAAUUAUGGUGGAAAAGAUUAAAAAAAAGUUUUAAGGGGCAAUUGGGUCUUUAACCAUGCUAAUGCAUGCAUUAAAACCAUUGCAUUACUAAUACCUAGAAUCCAUGAUAUUAGUAAUAGUGUAAUACACACUUUAAUACACAAUAGAGUGUAUAACUAAUGUUUAUAUUAGUUAUAAAUAGGUUAGAAAAAAAUACCAAACAAGGUAUUAAUAAAACAUAAAGUAAUAAUUUCUAUUUCUAGCUUUAUUAUUAUAUAUAAAUUUGGCGAUAAAUUAUUGUUCAAUAUUAAAGUCUCACAUUAGUUAAAUGUAUGAGAUUCAGUUUUGUUAUAUGGUGGAGAUGUGAGACAAGUGAUCAAGUUAUUUAUAUGUUAUAUUAAGAAAAUGAAUAGAUUAAAGAAUAUGUAAAAAGACUAUUUUUUUUGUAUUUUAGUUUCUGGCUAAUACACGUAGAGUGUAUUAGGAAAAAUAAUGCAUGCAUUAGCUUUGUGUAUUACUAUAAAUAAUGCUUGCAUAAAUUAAACACUCUAUUGUGUAUUAAGGUGUGCAUUACUAAUACCAUGAAUUUCUAGGUAUUAGUAAUGCAUGCAUUAGCAUUUUAAAGACACAAAUACCCUUCAAAAAUACUUUUACAUAUUUUUCACCAUAAUUAUGGAGGAUAUUUUUGUAAAUAAAUAUUUGUGUGCAAUACAUGCUAUUUUUAAUGCUACCAAACCAAACAAUGUAUAAGAAAUAAUUUAUGUACAACUAAUGCAAGUAUGACUAAUACAAGCAUUAUUAAAGCAAGUAUUUCUUAUACACUUUAUCUAACGACUCCUCCAUAUACAAUAGAGUGUUUAACUUAUGCAAGCAUUAUUUAUAGUAAUACACAAAGCUAAUGCAUGCAUUAUUUUUCCUAAUACACUCUACGUGUAUUAGCCAGAAACUAAAAUACAAAAAAAAUAGUCUUUUUACAUAUUCUUUAAUCUAUUCAUUUUCUUAAUAUAACAUAUAAAUAACUUGAUCACUUGUCUCACAUCUCCACCAUAUAACAAAACUGAAUCUCAUACAUUUAACUAAUGUGAGACUUUAAUAUUGAACAAUAAUUUAUCGCCAAAUUUAUAUAUAAUAAUAAAGCUAGAAAUAUAAAUUCUUACUUUAUGUUUUAUUAAUACCUUGUUUAGUAUUUUUUUUUUCCAACCUAUUUAUAACUAAUGUAAACAUUAGUUAAACACUUUAUUGUGUAUUAAAGUGUGUAUUACACUAUUACUAAUAUCAUGGAUUCUAGGUAUUAGUAAUGCAAUGGUUUUAAUGCAUGCAUUAGCAUGGUUAAAGACCCAAUUGCCCCUUAAAACUUUUUUUUAAUCUUUUCCACCAUAAUUGUGAAGAGUAUCUUUGUAAAUAAUUUUUUUUAUGCAAUACUUGUUAUUUUUAAUGCACCUAAUUAAACAAUGCAUAAAAAUAAUUUAUCUAUAAUUGAUACAAGCAUUACUAAUUAAUACAAGCAUUAUUAAUCAAACAUUACUAAUAUACUCUAUUUAGCAUUAAAUUUAUUGUCACACCCCGAGCCUACACCCUGGGCGGGACUGACACUCGAAGACCAUUGUUGGCCCAAAGCGAACCCUUUGCCUGGCUUACAUAACUUAGCAGAAGACUUAAACUCAACAAAGGUAAGUUCAUAUAGUAAACUGGAAUGUUAUAAAUGAACAUUCAACUGGCCAUUAAGGCAAACUCAAGUCUCAACAUGGAAUAAUGACAAUGAAAAGACUAAACAACUAACAUCUGACUGUCUAUGAAGCCUCUAAUAACAACUGAGAUGGAUGUUGGGACAAACCCCACAACAACCUAAUUAAGUAAACUAGAAAAUAAUGAAAUGGAUCCUCCGAAAUGCAAGGACGCUCACCAAUAGACUCUGAACUGCUUACUGGAUCAAUGAUGCGCCGAAAUGCCAAUCCUAGUUACCUGUGUUUGCAUCAUAAGACGAUGCAGGCCAACUGGCAUCAGUACAUUGAAUGUACGAGUAUGCGAGUUGGAAAGCUAAACAUAACAUAGGCUUGAAAAUGAUCUAAAAGAAACACUUACCUUGGCUCUUCUCAAUUCAUGAAUACUUAACUGAACGCAUUUCAUUAUAAAGUAGUUUAAGACAAGUGCAACAUAAAGAAAAAGAAAACUGUUUAAAACAUGUUGUCAACUCAUAAUCAUAAAAUCAUAAAAAAACAUAACAUGAUCCCUCUGAAAGUCUACUUGUGCAAUGCAUGAAUGAAGUCCCAUACCCCAUCCAUACUAAGCAGAACCCCUUGAGGAACCAUGCAAUUACUGUUGUGGGAGUUUCUCUAACCGACAAGCAACACUUAAAAACUAUAGUGAUGAUACAACGUUAUUAGCCCCACGCUGCCCGGGCCAUCUUAUACCUUGUCGUGGUACAGAACCUGAACUACUAAUUGGAUCCACUAGUCUAUGAGAAAAGGAUUCAUCUAAAAGUAUGACCAUUUUCUACCCAUGAUGGUUACAUGGUUUAUGGAGACUUGAGUUAAUGUGAACUCGCAUCGCCAUAUCCGUGCCCAAUACUACUCCCAAAAAUAUAAUAUAUAUUAGCUUUUAUGUUUAAAAACAUACUUGUUCUGUGAUUUGAGAUUAGUGCUCAAAAACUUAGCUCAAAGGCUAUCUUAGAAAUCAAAGUUUCCCCUCUUGCUUAAUUAUGAAAGCAUUUACUCUUUUCUGAAAAUUAGUCUGAAGGCUCUUUGGAAAUCGAGGUUUCCUUUCUUGUUUAAAUGUGAAAACAUUUUAAACUCUUUGGGAAUACAUGGUCCCCAUAUACUUUUGAAGAAAAUGAACUUCAACUCUUUACUCUUUGCUUAACUUGAAAUUUAAGUCUUAGAACAAAGUUAAAACAUUUGGAAAAGACUUUUGGAAAACUCUAAGAACUUCUCUUGACUUGACUCCUACUUCUUUUGACAUUGAUCCUAACUUUCCUUGAAUAGGAUUAUGGAUUCAAGGUUCAUGAUCUCAUGUUUAUGGAUGAUUUCAUGAUGUUUAGAUAUACCUUAGAGUGUUGGAAUCAACUAGAAAAUAUAUGUACAUUGCUAAGGAACAAGUACGAAAAGAUAGGGAACGAAUGGGGAGAAAUGGCGUCCCUGGAACUUUGAGAGGCGCAGGGCGCCAGCCCUCAACAUUCAGAGACCAAGUUGGGGUGCUCUGGCUGGCACGACGCCCCACCUCCUUCCCCAAGUGCUUGAUGACUUUUCUUCUCCGUUUUACAACUCUAAACCCUCUAAACUUUAAUGGUUUUUUUCCCAAACACUAAGGAUCAUUUAUACCCUCGAUAUAUGAUAGAUUCAAACCGAAAUUACACCCGAAAACAUGAAUCAAAUCGCAAGAAACUUCAACAAAACAACCCAAAAGAAUUCAGACGAAUUUCAUCAAGAACUCGAAGGAUUUACUUUCAAAUCACACAUAUUUCGCUGAAUUUAAUCAUGAUUGGCGCGUGGAUGAACUAACCCAACGCUAUGUGAUCUCACAUACCUUUUUAGGGAUCACCCACGACGAAAUCCACAAGUUAUCCUUGACGAAAUCGACGAAUCUUGCUUCCUCUUUUCCUUUCUCCUCUUUUCUCUUUUCUCCAAGUCCUAGCGUGAACUCUAACUUUUCUAAACUGACCAAAAUCUGGUUUUACCCCAAUUAAUCUCCUAAAAACGAAUUAGAAUAAUUAGGUAAGGAAAAGACUAAAUAACCUUUCUAAAAUCCGAAUUAGACUUUCCUUAAUCCAACAACCCAAGGAGUUAUGGCCAUUUGAAGUUAACCAAAACUCAACUUUUCCUAACUUAAACAAAUUUCCAGAUUUUUAUUCUUUCCAAAAAUGACUAUUUCCAAUUAUUAGCUUUUUCCUAGUUAUUUCAAAUUGCAAGAUGUUACAAUAUCUCCCCCUUGGGAACAUUCCUCCUCGAAUGAGAUUAUUCUUACUAGGCUCAGGGCGUAACAUCAAGUUCAAACACCCAACAAGCAAAUGCAAACAAACAACAUGCUUACCCAUAAAUAAAUACUAAGAAAGGAUUAGUACCUUGAUCUAGAAUUUCUCCGGGUUUGAAGAGAUGUGAAUAUCUCUUCUUCAUACUUUUUCACCAAUAGACUUCUCUCAAGUCACGAUACAUCUUGGUGGAACUCGGAUGAAUGGAAUAUCUGGAGCUUUAAGCUUCUUCCAUGAUCCUCUCUUGGGUUCCAUCCACCAUUGAUACACACAACCUACCUUGAUGUCUCAACACACCAUCUCCCCCUUCUUCAAAAGUUAAUACUUUUUGCUUAUGAACAUUUGCCAUCAAUUCAAGAAAGAUAAGGUCUUGGUCUUUCUCACCUUUUACUUCUGACACUAAUGAUGAUUCAGCCCCAUUCAUCACCACUAUUCCUUCUCUUGUGGAAUCCGUUAGUCGAACUCCUAAUCAUGUAAGUCUAUCCACAUCUUUUGCUAACUAUUUCUUAUCUUCCUCAACAUGGGCGGUACUACCCAUAGACAACCUGCUCAAGGCAUCAGCAAUAACAUUAGCCUUACCUGGGUGAUAAAGAAUACUCAUGUCAUAAUCCUUGAAUAAUUCCAACCACCUUCUUUGUCUGAGAUUAAGCUCUUUCUAGGUGAACACAGAUUGAAGACUAUUGUGAUCAGUGAAUACAUCAACAUGCACACCAUACAAGUACUGACGACAUAUCUUCAAAGCGAAUACUACAGCAGCCAACUCUAAGUCAUGGGUGGGGUAGUUCUUAUCGUGAACUUUCAACUGUCUAGAGGCAUAAGCUAUAACUUUGUCAUUCUGCAUUAAGACACAACCCAACCCAACUCUAGAUGCAUCACAGUACACCACAAAACGUUGAGUACCUUCUAGUAAGGUCAAAACUGGGCAGUAGUCAACCUCUUCUUCAAUUCCUGAAAGCUUUUCUCACAAGCUUCAGACCAUUAAGAUUUCCCUGUCUUCUGAGUUAACUUAGUCAAAUGGGAUGAAAUAGACGAGAACCCCUCUACAAACCUUUUAUAAUAGCCAGCCAAACCCAAGAAACUCAUAAUAUCAGUAGGAGAUGUGGGUCUAGGCCAAUUCUGCACUGCCUCUAUCUUCUGGGUAUCAACUCUAUUUCCAUCUCCGAAAACUAUGUGGCCCAAGAACGCCACAGACUCAAGCCAAAACUCACAUUUUGAGAACUUAACAUACAACACAUUAUCUUUCAAAGUCUGAAGAACUAUUCUGAGAUGGCCAGCAUGAUCUUCUUCAUUUCUUGAAUAAAUUAGUAUGUCAUCAAUGAAGACGAUAACAAACAUAUCUAAGUAAGGUUUGAAGACUCUAUUCAUAAGGUCCACGAACGUUGCUGGUGCAUUGGUCAAACCAAAGGACAUGACCAAAAACUCAUAAUGAUCACAACGGGUCCUGAAUGUUGUCUUGGAAAAAUCACAUUCCCUUACUUUCAACUAAUGGUAGCUAGAUCUGAGGUCAAUCUUAGAAAAACAAGAAGCCCCUUGAAGCUGAUCGAAAAGAUCAUCAAUUCUCGGAGGAGGAUACUUAUUCUUGAUGGUAACUUUGUUCAAUUGACGGUAAUUUAUACACAUCAUAAGGAAACCAUCUUUCUUUCUCACAAACAAGACCGGAGCUCCACAAGGUGAGACACUUGGUCGAAUGAAGCCAUUAUCUAAUAGAUCAUUUAACUGCUCUUUCAACUCCUUCAACUAUGUUGGUGCCAUUCUGUAUGGCGGAAAAGAGAUAGGACGAGUAUCUGGAAGAAUGUAUAUAUCAAAGUCUAUUUCUCACUCAGAAGGGACUCCGGGAAUAUCAUCAAGAAAGACUUCUGGAAACUCUCGUGCUACUAAAACUGACUGAAUAUGAGGUAUCUCAGUACUAGAGUCAUUAACUCGGACUAAGUGAUAGAAACACCCGUUAGAAACUAAUUUCCUUGCCUUAAGGUACGAAAUGAUACGACCCUUAGGCACUGCUGAACUGUUUUUCCACUCUAAGAUUGGCUCAUUUGGAAACUGAAACUUAACUACUCGAGUUCUACAAUCAACUGAGGCAUAACAGGCAUGAAACCAGUCCAUACCAAGAAUGACAUCAAAAUCUACCAUGUCUAACUCAAUUAAAUAAGCCAUGGUGUCUUUGUGAUGGACGGAAAUGACACAAUCACUAUAAACUCGCUCAUCUAGAAUAGACUCUCCAACAGGUGUAGAAACACAGAAGGGUUCACACAGUUUCUCAAGAAUAACAUCAAACUUAUUUGCAACAUAAAGGUUAACAAAAAAUAAACUUGCUCCUGGGUCUAGCAAAGCAUAAACAUCAAAAGUAAAGACUUGGAUUAUACCAGUGACCACAUCUGGAGAAUUCUCUUGCUUUUGUGACUAUUGAUAGCAUACAAUCGGUUUGUUUCCCCGCUAGUACCUGAAGUAGCUGCUCGAGGUGCAACUCUGUCUGAUGGAGCAACUGAAGAAAGUUGGGCCCUAUUGCCCCCUAUUACCAUUACCUUGCAUGUUCUCAGGACACUCCCUCAUAAAAUGACCGUUCUGACCACACUUGAAACAACCAGUAGAGCCCUCACGACAAAUACCUGAGUGGUUUCUGCCACACUUAGCAUAUGCAGGAGGCUUACUACCCCUUUGUGCCAUACUGCCUUGAGAAUAGGCAGGUUAAGCUCUGAAACUCUGGGAAUUCUGACUAUUGUACUCACUUUUGUUCUUAGGUGCAGGUGCACUAGCAGAUAAUGGGGUAGGUCCCUUCUGUUUCUAUUGGAAGGAAAACCAAUUUGCACUACUCUUUUGCUGCCUGAACUUGUUCCCUGAUGUCUUAGCCCUCUUAUUCUUAAACUCUUCUCUAUCCUUCAGCUUAUCCUCCUCAACUUGUUGUACAUGUAUCAUUAGCCUUGCUAUGUCCAUAUCCCCUAUCAAUAUUGCUGCCUUGCCUUCAUUGCUUGACUGACGAGACAAUCCAGCAACAAAUAAACUAAUCUUGUUCUUCAUUUCAACAACAAUCUCCGGGGAAUAGAGGGAAAGUUGUGCGAACUUCAAACUGUACUCAUGAACACUCAUAGACUCCGAAUUAAGGGUAAGAAAUUCUCUUAUCUUUGCCUCUCGCAACUCACGGGGAAAGAAACGUCUCAUGAGAGCACUCUCAAACACAGCCCAACUCAGUAUUGACGCAUCCUCAACCCUAUUCUUUUUCCAUUGGUCGAACCAGACUCUAGCGAUACCCUUCAGUUAGUAUGCAGAUAGUUCCUCCCUCUCAGCAUCAACAACAUACAAUAUCUCAAAAAAAUUCUGAAGUACUUCAACAAAGUUCUCUAAAUCCUCUGUGACACUUGAACCUGUGAAGCAUGGUGGAUUCAUCCCUAAAAACUCAAGGAUUCUUGAAGUAUCAGCCACAUCAUGUCGAUUACUUCUCCGUCCAACUUGAUGAGUCGCAACUUGGCUUAACAUCCGGAUAGUCUCACGGAAUUCAGCAUGGUUAACUUGCCUUUGAGGUUGUACUUCAGGUGCAUUAGGUAACUCCUGCUCAUCAACAUUUCUCCUAGCUGGACGACCUCUAACUGCUCUUCGUGAAGGCAUGAUUAUCUGAAACAUGCGCAAGAACGAAUUAAAGGGAAACCUUUUGGAGACCAAGAUCUAACACACGAAAUGAGUAUGAAAGAAGUGAGAAAUUUUCCUAAAUGUUGCAGCCUAAUAAUUAUAGAUGUGGCUUCACACCGAUAAAUAAGACUCUACAGACACGGCUUCAUAAACUCCCUAGGACUCUUAAACUUUGUGCUUUAAUACCAAGUUUGUCACUCCCCGAGCCUACGCCCUGGGCGGGACUGACACUCGAAGACCAUUGUUGGCUCAAAACGAACCCUUGGCCUGGCUUACUUAACUCAGCGGAAGACUUAAACUCAACAAAGGUAAGUUCAUAUAGUAAACUGGAAUGUUAUAAAUGAACAUUCAACUGGCCAUUAAGGCAAACUCAAGUCUCAACAUGGAAUAAUGACAAUGAAAAGACUAAACAACUAACAUCUGACUGUCUAUGAAGCCUCUAAUAACAACUGAGAUGGAUGUUGCGACAAACCCCACAACAUCCUAAUGAACUAAACUAGAAAACAAUUAAAUGGAUCCUCCGAAAUGCAAGGAGGCUCACCAACAUACUCUGAACUACUCACUGGAUCAACGAUGCGUCGGAAUGCCAAUCCAAGUUACCUAUGUCUGCAUCAUAAGACGAUGCAGGCCAACUGGCAUCAGAACAUUGAAUGUAUGAGUAUGCGAGUUGGAAAGCCAAACAUAACAUAGGCUUGAAAAGGAUCUGAAAGAAACACUUACCUUGGCUUUUCUAGACUCAUGAAUACUUAACUGAACUCAUUUCAUUAUAAAGCAGUUUAAGACAAGUGCAAUAUAAAGAAAAAGAAAACUGUUUAAAACAUGUUGUCAACUCAUAAUCAUAAAAUCAAAAAAAAAACAUAUCAUGAUCCCACUCAAAGUCUACUUGUGCAAUGCAUGAAUGAAGUCUCAUACCCCCAUCCAUACUAAGUAGAACCCCUUGAGAAACCAUGCAAUUACUGCUGUGGGAGUUUCUCUAACCGACAAGCAACACUUAAAAACUAUAGUGAUGAUACAACGUUAUUAGCCCCACGCUGCCCGGGCCAUCCUAUACCUUGUCGUGGUAUAGAACCUGAACUACUAAGUGGAUCCACUAGUCUAUGCGAAAAAGAUUCAUCUAAAAAGUAUGACCCUUUUCUACCCAUGAUGGCUACAUGGUUUAUGGAGACUUGAGUUAAUGUGAACUAGCAUCCCCAUAUCGGUGUUGGAAAUCAAAUUUUCCCCUCUUGCUUAAUUAUGAAAGCAUUUACUCUUUUCUGAAAACUAGUCCGAAGGCUCUUUGGAAAUCGAGGUUUCCUUUCUUGUUUAAAUGUGAAAACAUUUUAAACUCUUUGGAAAUACAUGGUCCCCAUAUACUUUUGAAGAAAAUGAACUUCAACUCUUUACUCUUUGCUUAACUUGAAAUUUAAGUCUUAGAACAAAGUUAAAACAUUUGGAAAAGACUUUUGGAAAACUCUAAGAACUUCUCUUGACUUGAAUCCUACUUCUCUUGAUGUUGAUCCUAACUUUCCUUGAAUUGGACUAUGGAUUUAAGGUUCAUGAUCUCAUGUUUAUGGAUGAUUUCAUGAUAUUUAGAUGUACCUUAGAGUGUUGAAAUCAACUACAAAAUAUAGGUACAUUGCUAAGGAACAAGUACGAAAAGGUAGGGAACGAAUGGGGAGAACUGGCGUCCCUGGCACUCUAAGAGGUGCGGGGCACGAGCCCUCAACAGUCAAAGACCAAGUUGGGGUGCUCUGGCUGGCGUGACGCCCCACCCCAUUCCCCAGGUGCUUGAAGACUUUUCUUCUCCGUUUUUCAACUCUAAACGCUCUAAACUUCAAUGGUUCUUUUCCCAAACACUAAGAAUCAUUUAUACCCUCAAUAUAUGAUAGAUUCAAACCGAAAUUACACCCGGAAACAAGAAUCAAAUCGUAAGAAACUUCAACAAAAUAACGCACAAGAAUUCAAACGAAUUUCAUUAAGAACUCAAAGGAUUUACUUUCAAAUCACACAUAUUUCGCUGAAUUUGAUCAUGAUUGGCGCGUGGGUUAACUAACCCAACGCUAUGUGAUCUCACAUACCUUUUUAGGGAUCACCCCUGACAAAAUCCACAAGCUAUCCUUGACGAAAUCGACGAAUCUUGCUUCCUCUUCUCCUUUCUCCUCUUUACUCUUUUCUCCAAGCCAUAGCGUGAACUCUAACUUUUCUAAACCGACCAAAAUCUGGUUUUACCCCAAUUAAUCUCCUAAAAACGAAUUAGAAUAAUUAGGUUAGGAAAAGACUAAAUAACCCUUCUAAAAUCCGGAAGAGACUUUCCUUAAUCCAACUGCCCAACUUCCAAAAGGCAUAACUUAUUCAUACGAACUCGGAAUCGCGCAAACUAGGCAGCCUUGGAAAGAUCAUUCCAAGAGCUUUCCAGCCAUGUCUGGAAGUACACCUAACUCAUCUUGAUCAAGGAGUUAUGGCCAUUUGAAGUUGACCAAAAUUCAACUUUUCCUAACUUAAACAAAUUUCCAGAUUUUCAUUCUUUCCAAAAAUGACUAUUUCCAAUUAUUAGCUUCUUCCUAGUUAUUUCAAAUUGCGAGAUGUUACAUUUAUAUACUCUACUAACGACUCCUCAUAACUACUCAUCUUCCCCAGAGAAGCUGGUUGCGAAAAAAGAAAGGAAACUACAAAACUGUGAAAUAUUUAAUAAUUUCUUAAAAUAAAUGCACUCUAGCUCUGUCCCGUAUUGGUUUGUUACAUGUACAGUGGUGAGACUGAGACUGUUUCAUUCUUAAUCAGUUGUAUUGGCUUUGAAUCCUAGAUAUAGAGAAAAAUAUGUUGAAAGUGUCACCCCAAAUGGACCCUGCAAUGCGCAAAUCAAAUUUAACCAAAAUUCUAAUGCGAAUUCUGAAUCGAGUGAAAAAAUUAAUAAUACUAUCAACGAUGCUUAUUCCUUAUGAAAUGGGGGCAUUAUUUUCUUUUUUUAAACGAGCAAUCUAUUUAAAAUGAGAACAAUAAUGUUAAACGUGAGUUUAAUUCGUCUGAACUCUAUUGAACAUAUUAUAUACAUACAAUAUUCACACUAGCCGAAAUUAGCGAAUACAAGCAAAAUUAUCAGCACUUUUUUAAAAAUAUUUUUUUAGAAAAGUGCUUUUUCAAAAAACUAAAUACUCUUUCUGUCUUUCAUUUUACACGAAUAUUAAAAAUUUUAAAUAACAAAAUAAUUUUAUUAAUUUAUUUCUAAAAAGAAAUUUAAUUGAUGUUUUCUUAAUUUAGUAAGUUAAACAACUAGUCCAUUUGUCCCUACUUACUUGUCCACUUUUCUAUUUUAAGUUAUUCUUAAUUAUUUGUCCAUUUAGACAAAUCAAGAAAGGACAAAUUUGUUUUACCUAUUAUACCCUUAAUUAAUUACUUUGAAAAUAUAGAUUAUUUUGAAUGUUUUAAGUUUUAAUUCAUCCAUUUCAUAAUUAAUAAGGAUAAAUUGAUAAACUUACUAUGUCAAUAAUUGGUUUCUUAAUAGGUGUGUUAAUUUUAAAAAUGGACAAGUAAUUAGGGAUAGAAAGAGUAUUUUUACUUCAAAAGUAAAAUAAUCAACUAAUAUGAAAAAUGAGUGUUUAGUUCGGCGUGAUUAAGCCGUGGAAGAAAAUCACAUGCCGGGAUUUUGGAAAUAUCUUUAAGUUUCUUAAAGUUAUUUAGGAAGAAAAGUAAACUAUAUUUAGAUGGAUGAGUAAGAGCCUCUUUGGAUUGAUUUAAAAAAUAGGUUAAAGUUAAAAAUUAAAGGUCAAAUUGAAAUGACUUUUAAGUUAAAAAAUAAGUAGGGGGGUGGGGAUACUUUUAGUUUUUAACUUAUUUUAAGUUCUUUUUUUUCUUCGCGAAACACUUUCAGAAAAUCAAAUAUUGACUUCAAAGUAGGUUUGACAAACUUUUAAACCAAACCACACCAUCUAAGUCAACUUGAAUUAUUUGUAUAAUAUUCUCUUGUUCAAUAUAUAUAAACAAUAAACAUUAAAAACGUGACUGGAUAUUAAUUAAAUAAAAAUUAAUCAAUAUAUUCUUUUUGAUUCUUCUAAAAAAUAUAGAUAAUUAUUAUUUGGAAUUUAAAAAUAUUUGAAAACUUUAAAACUAUUAUUUAAAAAAAAAGGUAAUUCUAAUAAAAAAAUAAUGAAUAAUACAUUUUAAUUUUUUAAGAAAAUCAUUCAUGAACUAUAAGAAAAGUGUUAAUAAAGUCGGUAUAGUAUUCUUUUUUUACCUUGAAAACUGUCGUCGUUUUGCUCCAUUACACUUUGUUUUAGAUGAUUGUACUGAAAAAUCGUAUUGUACUGUUUUAAUAAAUACAUUGUUUGAACAGAUUGUAUCGGUCUCUAUUGUAAGAUAAUGUCACAUAUCCAUAAUUUGAAUGAUAAAUCUAUAAAAUAAAAUAAAAAGAUAAUGAAUAGAGCUACUAUGAAAAGAUAUGGAUAAAAAAUGAAAUACAACUAUUAAAUAAUAAUUAAUAAAUAAAUAAAAAAUGCAAAGAAAGUAUUUUGGUAACAAAGCGAUUACACCAAAUGGAUCGUUAUAUAAAAUGAGUAUUUUCAUCAUUAGCUAAGAAUGAAUUUUAAUUAUACAAUACAAUUUAAUACAAUACAAGUCAACCAUUAAUGACUUAAACUACUAUACUUAGAUAUGGGUAUGGCAAUAGACAAUCUUCUCAUCAUACUUGCAUAAGUUAUUUGGUAUUUUAUUGUUGUCAAAUAUAUCAGAUUUCUAUCCUCUAUUUGAGGCUCUGGAUCUGCAGGGAUUGAGAAAGCAGACGGAAAUAUAUCAGAGUCAAUUGAUCAAUAUCUGGAGUGAAAUUGUAAAGGAAAAAGGCAGGCAAUUAAACGUCAUAGCUCGAAUUUUUUGAAUGUCAUGAUUGAUAGUGGAUUCUCAGAUUUACAGAUCAAUAUCUUAGUGAUAGUAAUAUCUCAACUUUUUAAAAUCAGUAUACUCUGGUUUCAAAUAGAUGUGAAUUUUUUAGGCAAAACCAAUUGAGGUUGACAUGACACAAUCUUGUUCUUGAAUUUCAGGAAUUAGUGGGUGCGGGUUCUAACACCACAACCUCAACAAUUGAAUGGGCAAUGAUAGAGUUGCUGAGGAACAAGGGUGCUAUGCACAAAUUUCAGGCUGAGCUUACAAGUAAAUUCAGGGAAAAUGAUAUAAUAACAGAAUCAAACAUCAGUGAACUUCCAUAUUUGGCUGCUAUUGUCAAGGAGACAUUGAGAAUCCAUUCACCUACUCCCUUCUUGAUUCCUCGUCGUCGUGCUCCUGAGACGUGUAAGAUUAUGAAUUAUACCAUCCCAAAUAACUCGAAGUUGUUUGUCAAUGUUUACACAAUAGGGCGUGACUCCAACUUAUGGGAAGAUUUUAAGUUCAUACCAUUUGGUGCAGGGAGGAGAAUAUGCCCUGGCUUAGGUUUUGCUCGACAAGAAAUUCACUUGAUUUUAGCUUGUUUGAUCCAUUACUUUGAGUGGUCAAUUCCUAAUGGUGAGGAUCCAAUGCAGUUAGAUAUGGAAGAAAAAGUUUGGGUGUUACUCUACAGAAAGAAAAGCCUCUACUCAUUGUCCCUAUGUAAUGUGUAUAUCUUUUUUGUUCUACACAUGCAACAUGUAGUACCUUCACUUACAAAUAAAAACUAUACUAUUAUGUUCCAAAGCUAUCUUAUUUUUUAGAAUGGAAUUAGUUUUUGCAUUGUUAUGAUAUGGGUAUGGGUAGGGUCAGAAAAAAAAAUUAAAGAAUGAAGUAGAGUUUCAGAAAUGUUUUCCUCAAUUAUUGAAGGGAAGUCAUUUUCCUUAAAUUUGAGGAAAAUGAGAUAAUUUGGAAAACAUUUUUCAAACAUGAAAAAAUUGGCCAUACCAAACACACCAUUUAUUUAUCAACAUUUUCAUAAAUUGACAACUCUGUUGGUAAGGUGAGAAAAGAUAAAUGGUUUUUGGAUUCUUCAUUACGAAAAUUAUUGGUGAGGUGAUUCAGUACACACGUAUGUAUUUUACUAUUUUUUAUUCUUUAUUUUUUGUCGUCAUUUUAGUGAUGAUAUUAUCAAUGAAGAUGACUAGAUACUUAAUUGAUAUGAGUUUAUUUGUUUUGUAUUUAGAUUUUUUUAUUACAUGUGCAAUUUAAUUUUGAUUAAGACUUAUUUUAUCAAGACCAAGAAGAGUUGGUCGAAAUUGGACAAAGUUUCUAAUUAUUCAAUCGUUUUUUAAAUAAUUUAUUGUUGAGUUUUGAAUAUAUUUGUUUUGAUGUUACAGUUUUAAUUCAUUGAAUCCAAAUAGGUUUUCCACAAAAUUUUAAAAUCCCCCCCCCCCCCCUCCCCAGAAUCAAGUAGGAUUAACAAAGAAACUAAUUAAGUGUCCAUCAUACUUAUUGAUAGUGAAGAUGCGCAACUCCAAUUUCUAAAACUGUGUAUAUGACAUAAGUUUAAGAAUGGUAUUAUAGAAUCCUAUUGAUAAACUAUUGCCUACGUAGCAAUAGAUGAGUGACUAUAAAAUAUGAAGUCUUGUACAUUACCGGGUCGUUUGGUAGAGUGAAUAAGAAUAAUGUUAAAUAGAGUGUAUUAGUAAUGCUUGCAAGUAUUAACAAAAAUAAUGCUUGCAUGCAUUAGCUUUGUUUAUUAGUAAUAUCUUGUUUGAUACUUUUUUUCAUACUAUGUAUAACUAAUGCAAACAGUAAUUAUACACUCUAUUGUGUAUUGGGGAGUGUAUUACUAAUACCAUGAAUUUCUAGGUAUUAGUAAUGCAUGCAUUAGCAUUUUAAAGACACAAAUACCCUUCAAAAAUACUUUUACAUCUUUUUCACCAUAAUUAUGGAGGAUAUUUUUAUAAAUAAAUAUUUGUGUGCAAUACAUGCUAUUUUUAAUGCUACCAAACCAAACAAUGUAUAAGAAAUAAUUUAUGUACAACUAAUGCAAGUAUAACUAAUACAAGCAUUAUUAAUGCAGGUAUUUCUUAUACACUCUAUUGAGCAUUAUUUUUAUACACUCUAUCAAACGACUCCUGCAUGUAUUAGUUAUGUUUGCAUUAAUUAUACAUAGAUUAUUUUAAUGCUUUGUUUGGUUUAAUGCAUUAAAAAUAGUAUGUAUUGCAUUAAAAAGAUUAUUUACAAAGAUACCCUCCACUUUAUCGUGGAAAAGAUGUAAAAAAGGUUUUGAGGGACAAUUGAGUCUUUUGUCAUGUUAAUGCAUGCAUUGAAAUCAGUGCAUUGCUAAUACCUAGAAAUUCAUGGUAUUAGUAAUGCACACCUUAAUACACAAUAGAGUGUUUAAUUUAUGCAAGCAUUAUUUAUAGUAAUACACAAAGCUAAUACAUGCAUUAUUUUUCCUGAUACACUACGUGUAUUAGCCAGAAGUUGAAAUACAAAAAAAAAUAGUCUUUUUACAUAUUCUUUAAUCUAUUCAUUUUCUUAAUAUAACAUAUAAAUAUCUUGAUCACUUCUCUCACAUCUCCACCAUAUAACAAAACUGAAUCUCAUACAUUUAACUAAUGCGAGACUUUAAUAUUGAACAAUAAUUUAUCGCCAAAUUUAUAUAUAAUAAUAAAGCUAGAAAUAGAAAUUAUUACUUUAUGUUUUAUUAAUACCUUGUUUGGUAUUUUUUUUUCUAACCUAUUUAUAACUAAUGUAAACAUUAGUUAUACACUCUAUUGUGUAUUAAAGUGUGUAUUACACUAUUACUAAUAUCAUGGAUUCUAGGUAUUAGUAAUGAUGUGGUUUUAAUGCAUGCAUUAGCAUGAUUAAAGACCCAAUUGCCCCUUAAAACUUUUUUUUUCAUCUUUUCCACCAUAAUUGUGAAUAGUAUCUUUGUAAAUAAAUUUUUUUAUGCAAUACAUGUUAUUUUUAAUGCACCUAAUCAAACAAUGCAUAAAAAUAAUCUAUCUAUAAUUGAUACAAGCAUUACUAAUUAAUACAAGCAUUAUUAAUCAAACAUUACUAAUAUACUCUAUUUAGCAUUAUAUUUAUAUACUCUACUAACGACUCCUCAUAACUACUCAUUCGCCCCAUAGAAGCUGGUUGCGAAAAAAGAAAGGAAACUACAAAACUGUGAAAUAUUUAAUAAUUUCUUAAAAUAAAUGCUCUAGCUCCGUCCCGUAUUGGUUUGUUACAUGUACAGUGGUGAAACUGAGACUAUUUCAUUCUUAAUCAAAUGUAUUGGCUUUGAAUCUUAAAUAUAGAGAAAAAUUUGUUGAAAGUGUCACCCCAAAUGGACCCUGCAAUGCACAAAUCAAAUUUAACCAAAACUCUAAUGCGAGCACCGAUUGAAAAAAAAAAUACUGUCAACGAUGCUCAUUCCUUAUGAAAUGGGAGCAUUAUUUUCUUUUUUAAAUGAGCAAUCUAUUUAAAAUGAGAAAAAUAAUGUUAAACGUGAGUUUGACCUGUUCACUUUAACAGUUCUUAGCUUUUUUUUCUUCAAAUUAUUUAUAGGUUUGCCAAUUAAGAAUUAAGGAGAUUAAGCGCUACAAAAAUAUUGUGUCUGUUUUUUUUUAAUUCGUCUAAACUCUAUUGAUCAUAUUAUAUACAUACAAUAUUCGCACUAGCCGAAAAUAGCGAAUACAAGCAAAAUUAUCAGCGCUUUUUUAAAAAUAUUGUUUUAGAAAAGUGUUUUUUCAAAAAAAUAAAUAUUCUUUCUGUCUUUCAUUUUACACGCAUAUUAAAAAUUAUAAAUAAGAAAAUAAUUUUAUUAAUUCAUUUCUAAAAAGAAAUUAGAAAUUUUAAAAAUAAAUGUGAAUAUUUUUUUAAAAAUAAUUGUAGAGGUAAUAUAGGUAAAUUUUAAUUGAUGUUUUCUUAAUUUAGUAAGUUAAACAACUAGUCUAUUUGUCCCUAAUUACCUGUCCACUUUUCUUUUUUAAGUUAUUCUUAAUUAUUUGUCCAUUUAGACAAAUCAAGAAAGGACAAAUUUGUUUUACCUAUUAUACCCUUAAUUAAUUACUUUGAAAAUGUAGAAUUUUUUGAAUGUUUUAACUUUUAAUUCAUCCAUUUCAUAAUUAAUAAGGAUAAAUUGGUAAAUUUAUUAUGUCAAUAAUUAUUUUCUUAAUAGGUGUGCCAAUUUUUAAAAUGGACAAGUAAUUAAGGAUAGAAAGAGUAUUUUUACUUCAAAAGUAAAAUAAUCAACUAAUAUGAAAAAUGAGUGUUUAGUUCAGCGUGAUUAAGCCGUGGAAGAAAAUCACAUGCCGGGAUUUUGGAAAUAUCCUUAAGUUUCUUAAAGUUCUUUAGGAAGAAAAGUAAACUAUAUUUAGAUGGAUGAGUAAGAGCCUCUUUGGAUUGAUUUAAAAAAUAGCUUAAAGUUAAAGGUCAAAUUGAAAUGACUUUUAAGUCAAAAAAUAAAAAGUAGCGGAGGUGGAGCUACUUUUAGUUUUUAACUUAUUUUAAGUUCUUUUUUUUCUUCGCCAAACACUUUCAGAAAAUCAAAUAUUGACUUAAAAGUAGGUUUGACAAACUUUUAAACCAAACUACACUCUCUAAGUCAACUUGAAUUAUUUGUAUAAUAUUCUCUUGUUCAAUAUAAACAAUAAACAAAAUAUUAAAAAUGUGACUGGAUAUUAUUAAAUAAAAAUUAAUCAAUAUAUUAUUUUUGAUUCUUCUAAAAAAUAUAGAUAAUUAUUAUUUGGAAAUUAAAAAUACUUGAAAACUUUAUAACUAUUAUUUAAAAAAAAGGGUAAUUCUAAUAAAAAAAACAAUGAAUAAUACAUUUUUAUUUUUUUAAGAAAAUCAUUCAUGAACUAUAAGAAAAGUGUUAAUAAAGUUGGUAUAAUAUUCUUUUUUUACCUUGAAAACUCUAGUCGUUUUGCUCCCUUACACUUUGUUUUAGAUGAUUGUACUGAAAAAUCGUAUUGUAAUGUUUUAAUAAAUACAUUGUUUGAACAUAUUGUAUCGGUCUCUAUCGUAAAAUAAUGUCACAUAUCCAUAAUUUGAAUGAUAAAUCUAUAAAUAAAAUAAAAAAAGAUAAUGAAUAGAGCUACUAUGAAAAGAUAAGGAUAAAAAAUGAAAUACAACUAUUAAAUAAUAAUUAAUAAAUAAAAACAAAAUGCAAAGAAAGUAUUUUGGUAACAAUGCGAUUAGACCAAAUGAAUCGUGAUAUAAAAUGAGUAUUUUCGUCAUUAGCUAAGAAUGAAUUUUAAUGAUACAAUACAAAUUAACACAAUACAAGUAAACCAUUAAUGACUUAAAUUACUAUACUUAUAUAUGGGUAUGGCAAUAGACAAUCUUCUCAUCAUACUUGCAUGUGUUAUUUGGUAUGUUAUUGUUGUCAAUGGAGUAUUAUACGCUGCCAGCAUCCUUUCUUUUCUUGAUUUCAUUCUUCUUCCUCAUCCUUAAACAACUCACACAAAAAUCUCGAAACCUUCCACCAGGUCCUCGACCAUGGCCUGUGUUAGGAAAAAUUCUCCAAAUGGGGAAAAACCCUCAUAUUUCCCUGGCACAAUUUGCCAAAAUGUAUGGCCCAUUGAUUUCUGUCAAGUUGGGAACUCAACUGGUUGUGGUAGCUUCAUCCCCUGCUUCUGCAGCUGAAAUCCUCAAGACUCAAGAUCGUCUGCUAUCGGUCCGAUCUGUGCCCAAAGUUGCUAUAUAUGAACUCUCUGUUAUUGAUCAACACUCAAUUGUUUUUUCCAGUGAUUUGAGCAAUCACUGGAAGUUCUUGCGGGCAUUUUGUCGAACACAUUUGUUCUCACCCAAAGCGGUCGAGUCACAGACUACUCUGAGGGAGAAAAAAAUGUGGGAAAUGAUAGAGUUUCUUAGGUCUAGGAAAGGGGAAACUGUGAAGAUUUCUGAAAUUCUGUUUGGUACCAUUUUAAACACGUUAGGGAACCUUUUCUUUUCAAAAGAUUUAUGUCAUUUGGAUUAUGAAAGAAACACCAGUGAGAUCAAAUGUGUUUUUAGAAAAUUUAUAGAAUUGGGAGCUAUGCCAAAUAUAUCAGAUUUCUAUCCUUUAUUUGAGGCUCUGGAUCUGCAGGGAUUGAGAAAGCAGACGGAAAUAUAUCAGAGUCGAUUGAUCAACAUCUGGAGUGAAAUUGUCAAGGAAAAAAGGCAUGCAAUUAGCCGUCAUAGCUCGGAUUUUUUGGAUGUCAUGAUUGAUAGUGGAUUCUCAGAUUUACAGAUCAAUAUCUUAUUGACAGUAAUUUAUUUAUCACCUCUAAAUCAAUUUCUUAAAACUAAUAGACAAAUUUGAUGAAAUAGGCGUGAGUUUUGUUUUUAAAAGAUGAUUGAGAUGGACAUGACACAAUUCUGUUCUUCAAUCUCAGGAAUUAAUAGGUGCGGGUUCUGACACCACUACCGCAACAACUGAAUGGGCAAUGACAGAGUUGCUAAGGAACAAGGGCGCUAUGCACAAACUUCAGGCUGAGCUUACAAGUCAAUUCGGGGAAAAUGAUAUUAUCACAGAAUCAAACAUCACUGAACUUCCAUAUUUGGCUGCUUGUGUUAAGGAGACAUUGAGACUCCAUUCGCCUACUCCCUUCUUGAUUCCUCGUCGUGCAUCUGAGACAUGUAAGAUUAUGGAUUACACCAUCCCAAAAAACUCGAAAUUGUUUGUGAACGCUUGGGCAAUAGGGCGUGACUCCAACACUUGGGAAGAUGCAUUAUCUUUCAAGCCUGAGCGAUUUCUAGACUCUAAUGUGGACUUCAGGGGUCAAGAUUUUGGGCUCAUACCAUUUGGUGCAGGGAGGAGAAUAUGCCCUGGCUUAGGUUUUGCUAGACAAGAAAUUCACUUAAUUUUAGCUAGUUUGAUCCAUUACUUUGAAUGGUCACUUCCUAAUGGUGAGGAUCCAAUGCAGUUAGAUAUGGAAGACAAGUUUGGUGUUACUCUACAGAAAGAAAAGCCUCUACUCAUUGUUCCUAUGUAAUAUGAGUAUUUUUUUUAUAGUCUAUAUCCAAGAUAUAAUGUCACUUGGAGUACAAAAUAAAUGAUUUAUUGUGCGACAAGUAAAAUCGUAAAAAUAUUAAGUAUAACUUGUGUCUUUGGGGUAUAAAGAUUUUUCGCAAAAGUCGUGACAGUAUUGUAUGGAGAUGUGUUCUCCUAUGGUGGAUACAAUGAAAUUUCUUUUAGUUUGACAAUAUAUGAAAAACUUGAAUAAGAUAAUAAAUGAUUAUUAUAUGUAGCUAGACAGUACACAUUAUAUGAAAAUCCUUGAAUGAUUUAAAAUGUUAUAAAACUAUUCGAUUGAAUAGUACCCCUAUGAUUGUGAGAUCAUUUUAUAUAAAUAAAGAUUAAUUUCAGUCACAUUAGAAUGAAACGAAAAUAUAAUUUUACUGCAAUUGGUGCACUUAUGUAUCAUGAAAAUAUUAGAGUGAAACAAAUAUUGAUACAAAUUAUUUAUUUUGAUCAAUCAUGUCAAGGUUUAUUGAUUAUGAAAUUUGAUCUCUAGAAAGUUGUAUGUCUUCAUGUGGAAAUAUUGUCAUAUCAAAUCAUUUCACAAGCCAAUCAAUUUUAUAUAUCGAAAUAGUUCAUCUUCCUCACUGACUAAUUUUUUUUAUAAAUAUCGAUAUUGUAUAAAUAGUUAUGUUAGGUAUAUAUAAUGUACAUAUGCAUUCAUAUAUAUUUUUAUAUAUAUAUCGAAAUAGUUCAUCUUCCUCAACAAACUAAUUUUCUUAUUUAGAUCCCGAACUAUUCGAAUUUCUUUUAAGCUGUUACAACUUUUAGAGAUGAGCUCCUAUUAAUAUUUUAAAUUUUUUGAUAUCUUAUUCACUCAAAAUAAUUCACAUUUACUACAUGUCUGAGUUUUAAAAUUUGUGUUAAGCGCUGAAUAUAUAAAGAAUUUUUUGCUUGACUAUUAUUAAUACAAUAAAACAAAAUAGCGGUUGGUGAGUAUGACAAGUUGGAAUAUUUUGGUGUUUUAUAUAUGUCUAUUGGCCAAUUAUGAAAUAUCUUCUCAUUAUACUUGUGUUGAUUUAAUGGAGUAUUAUAUGCUGCAAGCAUCCCUUCUUUUCUUGAUUCCAUUCUUCUUCCUCAUCGUUAAACAACUCAUACCAAAAUCUGGAAAUCUUCCACCAGGUCCUCGACCAUGGCCUGUGUUAGGAAAUAUUCUCCAACUGGGAAAAAACCCCCAUAUUUCACUGGCAAAAUUUGCCGAAAUUCAUGGGCCAUUGAUUUCUGUCAAGCUGGGAACUCAACUGGUUGUGGUAGCUUCGUCCCCUCAUUCUGCAGCUGAAAUCCUUAAGACUCAAGAUCGUCUUCUCUCAGCCCGGUCUCCGCCCAGUGUUGUUCCAUAUGAACUAUCUGUUAUUGAUCAACACUCAAUUGUCUUUUCUAGUGAUUUGGGCAAUCACUGGAAGUUCUUGCGGGCAUUUUGUCGAACACAUUUGUUCUCACCCAAAGCGGUAGAGUCACAGGCUGCUCUGAGGGAUAAAAAAGUGUCGGAAAUGAUACAUUUUCUUAGGUCUAAGAAAGGGGAAACUGUGAAGAUUUCUGAAAUUCUGUUUGGUACCAUUUUAAACACGUUAGGGAACCUUUUCUUUUCAAAAGAUUUAGUAUGUGGUUUGGAUUAUGAAAGAAACCCCAGUGGGAUCAAACGUGUUUUUAGAAAAUAUAUAGAAUUGGGAGCUAUGCCAAAUAUAUCAGAUUUCUAUCCUUUAUUUGAGGCUCUGGAUCUGCAGGGAUUGAGAAAGCAGACGGAAAUAUAUCAGAGUCGAUUGAUCAACAUCUGGAGUGAAAUUGUCAAGGAAAAAAGGCAGGCAAUUAGCCGUCAUAGCUCGGAUUUUUUGGAUGUUAUGAUUGAUAGUGGAUUCUCAGAUUUACAGAUCAAUAUCUUAGUGACAGUAAUAUCUCUUUUUUUUUUAGAACCAAUUUACUUUGGUUUCAAAUAGAAGAGUUGAUUUCUCAGACGGUGACUCAAUUAAUAGUUAUUGUCUCAAAAUGAUAACACUAUUAGUUAAGUGACAAUCUAAGGAAUCAACCCAACAAAAUUUGAUGUGAAAUUUUUAGUCAAAAUUAAUUUGAGGCUGACAUGACGCAAUCUUGUUCUUAAAUUUCAGGAAUUAAUGGGUGCGGGUUCUGACACCACAACCUCAACAAUUGAAUGGGCAAUGACAGAGUUGCUAAGGAACAACGGCGCUAUGCACAAACUUCAGGCUGAGCUUACAAGUAAAUUUGGGGAAAAUGAUACUAUCACAGAAUCAAACAUCAGUGAACUUCCAUAUUUGGCUGCUUGUGUCAAGGAGACAUUGAGACUCCAUUCGCCUACUCCCUUCUUGAUUCCUCGUCGUGCUCCUGAGACGUGUAAGAUUAUGAAUUACACCAUCCCAAAGAACUCGAAGUUGUUUGUGAAUGCUUACG
RNAcentral lists this long non-coding RNA (44184 nucleotides) under Solanum tuberosum (potato). RNAcentral's name for it is "long non-coding RNA (STUB_LNC003892)". Lineage: Eukaryota; Viridiplantae; Streptophyta; Magnoliopsida; Solanales; Solanaceae. The record is from RNAcentral.